AGCGGGAGGUGAAUCGGUGCUUCGAUCACGCCUAUAAAAUCUUCAGAAAACAUGGGGAAAAUGAUUUGAAGAUGUUCAAAUGUGAAAUUGUUAGAUCAAAUAUGGUGGCUUAAGUGGCAGUUAUUUUUAUAAUGUUUUGUUCAAAAUCAAAGAGGAUGAAUUAAGAUAGAAGUGGAUGAAUUAGAAAAUCAAGCCAUGAAAAUGGCUUAUGCGAUUGAGAUAGAAGUGUAUGAAUUGAAAAAUCAAGCCAUAAAAAUGGCUUAUGCGACCGCAUAAGCCUUUAAGGCUUACAAUCGCAUAUGGAUUUUCAGAGAAUUAGAGGAUGGCCAAAGCUAUAACUAU
This 342-nucleotide long non-coding RNA is filed under the name Olea europaea (common olive). RNAcentral describes it as "long non-coding RNA (OEUR_LNC010408)". Lineage: Eukaryota; Viridiplantae; Streptophyta; Magnoliopsida; Lamiales; Oleaceae. The record is from RNAcentral.